RNAcentral lists this ribosomal RNA (289 nucleotides) under uncultured Actinoallomurus sp. Its description in RNAcentral is "partial 16S ribosomal RNA". The record is from RNAcentral. Lineage: Bacteria; Bacillati; Actinomycetota; Actinomycetes; Streptosporangiales; Thermomonosporaceae.
CUACCCGGGUAUCUAAUCCUGUUCGCUCCCCACGCUUUCGCUCCUCAGUGUCAGGUAAGGCCCAGAGAACCGCCUUCGCCACCGGUGUUCCUCCCGAUAUCUGCGCAUUUCACCGCUACACCGGGAAUUCCAUUCUCCCCUACCUACCUCUAGUUCGCCCGUAUCCACUGCAAGUCCAGGGUUAAGCCCUGGAUUUUCACAGCGGACGCGGCGGACCACCUACGAGCUCUUUACGCCCAAUAAUUCCGGACAACGCUUGCGCCCUACGUGUUACCGCGGCUGCUGGCAC